GGUCCUCACCGAGGCUCGGAACCAAUUAACGAUUAGCAAUUUACCAUUAGCAAUAUAUUAGCAAUUAUCCAUUAGCGAUUUCAUCGCAGUCAUGGCUAAUCGCGAAUCGCUAAUGCAUCGAUAAUUGCUACAUGCUAAUUGAUAAUUUCCGAACUUCAGUGAGGAUACUCGAGCGGCGGACGGCUGAGUAACGCGUAGGAACGUACCCCAAAGUGAGGGAUAAGCACCAGAAAUGGUGUCUAAUACCGCAUGUGGUCUUCGGAUUAAAGCUUCGGCGCUUUGGGAGCGGCCUGCGUAUGAUUAGCUUGUUGGUGAGGUAAUGGCUCACCAAGGCGACGAUCAUUAGCUGGUCUGAGAGGAUGAUCAGCCAGACUGGGACUGAGAACGGCCCAGACUCCUACGGGAGGCAGCAGUAGGGAAUUUUCCACAAUGGGCGAAAGCCUGAUGGAGCAACGCCGCGUGCAGGAUGAAUGCCUUCGGGUUGUAAACUGCUUUUAUCUGUGACGAUUAUGACGGUAGCAGAUGAAUAAGGAUCGGCUAACUCCGUGCCAGCAGCCGCGGUCAUACGGAGGAUCCAAGCGUUAUCCGGGAUUACUGGGCGUAAAGAGUUGCGUAGGUGGCAUUGCAAGUCGGUAGUGAAAGCGUCUCGCUCAACGAGAUAUACAUUAUCGAAACUGCAAAGCUAGAGGACGAGAGAGGUUAUUGGAAUUCCUAGUGUAGGGGUAAAAUCCGUUGAUAUUAGGAGGAACACCGAUGGCGUAGGCAGAUAACUGGCUCGUUUCUGACACUCAGGCACGAAAGCGU
RNAcentral lists this ribosomal RNA (804 nucleotides) under uncultured Pseudomonadota bacterium. RNAcentral's name for it is "bacterial SSU rRNA". It matches the Rfam family "Bacterial small subunit ribosomal RNA", at positions 70 to 762 of the family's 1533-position model. The record is from RNAcentral. Lineage: Bacteria; Pseudomonadati; Pseudomonadota.